UUAAUUUAUUGUAAAAAAGUUUUAAUUUUUUUAUUGGUUUUACCUUUUGUAUCAUGAUUAAACUAAAAAUUUUAAUUAAUUAUUUUCUCGAAAAACAGUGAUCUUAUUUUUUGUGUAAUUAUGUGUAAUAAUAAUAAACUAGAAUUAAGGGGUGAUAUAUUAGUCGCACUGUUUGAUAACUAGAUUUUGGGUUUAAAAAAUAUUGACUAUAUUAGCUUAAAGGUUAUUAUAGUUUUUAAAAAUAAGAUAUAUUAUUUUUAGUGGGUCUAAAAGUAACCAAAUUAGUAAAGUGUCAUAACUGUUUAAUUAAAUUAGAAAUUUUUUAUAGUUCCCAACUAUUUAACUAGUGUUUUAGGUUAAUGUUUAAAUUAGUAGUUUAUUAGCAAAUUAUAAUCUCAAUUUAAGUCGAAAUGUUUAUCAAAAACAUUUCCAUACAAAUUUAUGUAUGGUAGGGCCUGCUCAAUGUUAUAAUAAAUAGCCGCAGUAUCUUGACUGUGCUAAGGUAGCAUAAUUGCUUGUCUUUUAAAUAAAGAAUUGUUUGAAUGGUUUAUUUGAUUUAAUAUGUAUUAUUUGUUUUAUAUUGAAAUUAGUUUAUGAGUAAAGAUCCUCAUAAUUUUAUAUAAGACGGAAAGACCCCGAGAACUAGUAUAAUUUAAAUUUUGUUUGGGGUAAAAUUAUUUUUUUAAUUAAAUUUUGAACCACAAUUUGUGAAUAAUGGAAAAGUUACCUCGGGGAUAACAGGGUUAGAAAUAAAGAGAGUACAAAUCGGUUUAUUUAAUUGCUACCUCGAUUUUGACUUAAAAAUACAAUAAGGCGUAGAAGCUUUAGUUGUAGGCCUGUUCGGCCUUUAAAAUUUUUCAUGAGUUGAGUUAAGACCGGCGUAAGCCAGGUUGGUUCUUAUCUAUAUUAGCUACUAUAUAGUACGAAAGGAUUUAUAGUAAUUUUUGUAACU
This 952-nucleotide ribosomal RNA is filed under the name Lamellodiscus spari. Its description in RNAcentral is "16S ribosomal RNA". The stretch from base 620 to 905 matches the Rfam family "Bacterial large subunit ribosomal RNA", at positions 2075 to 2645 of the family's 2925-position model. Lineage: Eukaryota; Metazoa; Platyhelminthes; Monogenea; Dactylogyridea; Diplectanidae. The record is from RNAcentral.